GAUGAAGAACGUAGCGAAAUGCGAUAAGUAAUGUGAAUUGCAGAAUUCAGUGAAUCAUCGAGUCUUUGAACGCACAUUGCGCCCCCUGGUAUUCCGGGGGGCAUGCCUGUCCGAGCGUCAUUGCCGCCCUCAAGCACGGCUUGUGUGUUGGGCCCCCGCCCCCCGGCUUCGGGGGGCGGGCCCGAAAGGCAGCGGCGGCACCGCGUCCGGUCCUCGAGCGUAUGGGGCUUCGUCACCCGCUCUGUAGGCCCGGCCGGCGCCCGCCGGCGACCCCAAUCAAUCUUUCCAGGUUGACCUCGGAUCAGGUAGGGAUACCCGGUGAACUUAAGCAUAUCAAUAAGCGGAGGA
RNAcentral lists this unclassified non-coding RNA (348 nucleotides) under soil metagenome. RNAcentral's name for it is "partial contains 5.8S ribosomal RNA, internal transcribed spacer 2, and large subunit ribosomal RNA". The stretch from base 1 to 120 matches the Rfam family "5.8S ribosomal RNA", at positions 35 to 154 of the family's 154-position model. The record is from RNAcentral.